Molecule: ribosomal RNA, 393 nt
Filed under: uncultured bacterium
Lineage: Bacteria
Description: partial 16S ribosomal RNA
Rfam family: Bacterial small subunit ribosomal RNA
Source: RNAcentral
AUACGGAGGAUCCAAGCGUUAUCCGGAUUUAUUGGGUUUAAAGGGUGCGUAGGCGGACUGGUAAGUCAGCUGUGAAAGUUUGCGGCUUAACCGUAAAAUUGCAGUUGAUACUGUCAGUCUUGAGUGUGCAUGAGGUGGGCGGAAUUUGUGGUGUAGCGGUGAAAUGCUUAGAUAUCACGAGGAACUCCAAUUGCGAAGGCAGCUCACUGGGGCAUAACUGACGCUGAUGCACGAAGGUGUGGGUAUCAAACAGGAUUAGAUACCCUGGUAGUCCACACAGUAAACUAUGAAUACUCGCUGUUUGCGAUAUACAGUAAGCGGCCAAGCGAAAGCAUUAAGUAUUCCACCUGGGGAGUACGCCGGCAACGGUGAAACUCAAAUGAAUUGGCGGGG